AGUGAACGCUGGCGGUAGGCCUAACACAUGCAAGUCGAACGGCAGCACAGUAAGAGCUUGCUCUUACGGGUGGCGAGUGGCGGACGGGUGAGGAAUACAUCGGAAUCUACUUUUUCGUGGGGGAUAACGUAGGGAAACUUACGCUAAUACCGCAUACGACCUACGGGUGAAAGCAGGGGAUCUUCGGACCUUGCGCGAUUGAAUGAGCCGAUGUCGGAUUAGCUAGUUGGCGGGGUAAAGGCCCACCAAGGCGACGAUCCGUAGCUGGUCUGAGAGGAUGAUCAGCCACCCUGGAGCUGAGACACGGUCCAGACUCCUACGGGAGGAAGCAGUGGGGAAUAUUGGACAAUGGGCGCAAGCCUGAUCCAGCCAUACCGCGUGGGUGAAGAAGGCCUUCGGGUUGUAAAGCCCUUUUGUUGGGAAAGAAAAGCAGCAGGUUAAUACCCCGCUGUUCUGACGGUACCCAAAGAAUAAGCACCGGCUAACUUCGUG
RNAcentral lists this ribosomal RNA (492 nucleotides) under uncultured bacterium. RNAcentral's name for it is "partial 16S ribosomal RNA". It matches the Rfam family "Bacterial small subunit ribosomal RNA", at positions 29 to 507 of the family's 1533-position model. The record is from RNAcentral.